This 71-nucleotide transfer RNA is filed under the name Heterocephalus glaber (naked mole-rat). It matches the Rfam family "tRNA". From Rfam's summary of the family: Transfer RNA (tRNA) molecules are approximately 80 nucleotides in length. Lineage: Eukaryota; Metazoa; Chordata; Mammalia; Rodentia; Bathyergidae. The record is from Rfam by way of RNAcentral.
GCGGAUGUAGCUCAGUGAUAGAGCACUUGCCUAGCAUGUGGGAGGCCCUGAAUUCAAUUCUCAGUAUUGCA